Molecule: ribosomal RNA, 776 nt
Filed under: uncultured Neocallimastigales
Lineage: Eukaryota; Fungi; Neocallimastigomycota; Neocallimastigomycetes; Neocallimastigales
Description: partial large subunit ribosomal RNA
Rfam family: Eukaryotic large subunit ribosomal RNA
Source: RNAcentral
CAUAGCGACUAUCGUGGCAUAUCAAUAAGCGGAGGAAAAGAAACUAACUAAGGAUUCCCUCAGUAACGGCGAGUGAAGCGGGAAGAGCUCAAAUUUGAAAUCUUCAAGGUUCUACCUUUACGAAUUGUAGUUUAAAGAAGUGUUUUCUGUUGGAGUUUCGGUAAAAGUUCUUUGGAAUAGGACAUCAUAGAGGGUGAGAAUCCCGUAUUUGACCAGUUAUUUCCAACUUUGUGAUACACUUUCAAAGAGUCGGAUUGUUUGGAAAUGCAGUCCAAAAUGGGUGGUAAAUUUCAUCUAAAGCUAAAUACUGGCGAGAGACCGAUAGCGAACAAGUACCGUGAGGGAAAGAUGAAAAGAACUUUGAAAAGAGAGUUAAACAGUACGUGAAAUUGUCAAAAGGGAAGCGUUUGACACCAGUGUUGUUUUCUCGAAAAUCAAUUAAAAAUGGUGGGAUGUUGUGUUGUAUUGACUUUAUCAGCUUUCUGCACUUUUUUUCCUAUCUUUUUUAAUGCACUUUUCGUUUAACAAGUCAACAUCAAUUUCUUUUGUUGUAAAAGAGUCAUUGGAAGGUGGCUUUCUUUUCGGAGAAAGUGUUUAUAGCCUUUGGCUUCUGCAAUCGGAGAGAUUGAGGUCUGCAGCGUAGAUCCUUCGGGGUUAGAUGCAUUUGUGCUAAGUUAUAGCCUUUCAUAGACAACUUGUUGACUAUGAUCAGUCAUGUAGCUUACUCGCUUAUGUCAUUUUACCUACGCUUAGGAUGUUGAAGAUAUGCGCGACAC